GACGAACGCUGGCGGCGCGCCUAACACAUGCAAGUCGAACGAGCGAGAGAGAGCUUGCUUUCUCGAGCGAGUGGCGAACGGGUGAGUAACGCGUGAGGAACCUGCCUCAAAGAGGGGGACAACAGUUGGAAACGACUGCUAAUACCGCAUAAGCCCACGGGUCGGCAUCGACCAGAGGGAAAAGGAGCAAUCCGCUUUGAGAUGGCCUCGCGUCCGAUUAGCUAGUUGGUGAGGUAAUGGCCCACCAAGGCGACGAUCGGUAGCCGGACUGAGAGGUUGAACGGCCACAUUGGGACUGAGACACGGCCCAGACUCCUACGGGAGGCAGCAGUGGGGAAUAUUGCACAAUGGGGGAAACCCUGAUGCAGCGACGCCGCGGGGAGGAAGAAGGUCUUCGGAUUGUAAACUCCUGUUGUUGGGGAAGAUAAUGACGGUACCCAACAAGGAAGUGACGGCUAACUACGUG
Molecule: ribosomal RNA, 466 nt
Filed under: uncultured bacterium
Lineage: Bacteria
Description: partial 16S ribosomal RNA
Rfam family: Bacterial small subunit ribosomal RNA
Source: RNAcentral